GACGAACGCUGGCGGCGUGCUUAAUACAUGCAAGUCAACUGAAGCAGUGGUAGCAAUAUCGCUGUGGAGGUGGCGCACGGGUGAGUAACACCUAGGUAAUCUGCCUUCAGGUCUUGCAUAACUCCGUGAAACCGGGGCUAAUAGCAGAUGAUGCAGUGGCUCGACAUCGAGACAGUUGUUAAAGUUAUGGCGUCUGAGGAUGAGCCUGCGUCUGAUUAGCUAGUUGGCGGGGUAACGGCCCACCAAGGCAACGAUCAGUAGCUGGUCUGAGAGGAUGAUCAGACAAGAGGGAACUGAGACACGAUGCAGAGACGUACGGGAGGCAGCAGUAAGGAAUAGGGCGCAAGGGGAGAAAACCAGAAGCAGCAACGCCGCGAGAGGGACGAGGGGCUUUUGCUUGUAAACCUCUGUAGAGAGAGAAAAAAAUCCCAAUCUUAGGGACAGAAGGGAAUCUCAAAAGAAGGCCCGGGCAAACUAGGU
Molecule: ribosomal RNA, 480 nt
Filed under: uncultured bacterium
Lineage: Bacteria
Description: partial 16S ribosomal RNA
Rfam family: Bacterial small subunit ribosomal RNA
Source: RNAcentral